AUUGAACGCUGGCGGCAGGCCUAACACAUGCAAGUCGAACGGUAACAGGAAACAGCUUGCUGUCUCGCUGACGAGUGGCGGACGGGUGAGUAAUGUCUGGGAAACUGCCUGAUGGAGGGGGAUAACUACUGGAAACGGUAGCUAAUACCGCAUAACGUCGCAAGACCAAAGAGGGGGACCCACGGGCCGCUUGCCAUCGGAUGUGCCCAGAUGGGAUUAGCUUGUUGGUGGGGUAACGGCUCACCAAGGCGACGAGCCCUAGCUGGUCUGAGAGGAUGACCAGCCACACUGGAACUGAGACACGGUCCAGACUCCUACGGGAGGCAGCAGUGGGGAAUAUUGCACAAUGGGCGCAAGCCUGAUGCAGCCAUGCCGCGUGUAUGAAGAAGGCCUUCGGGUUGUAAAGUACUUUCAGCGGGGAGGAAGGGAGUAAAGUUAAUACCUUUGCUCAUUGACGUUACCCGCAGAAGAAGCACCGGCUAACUCCGUG
This 490-nucleotide ribosomal RNA is filed under the name uncultured bacterium. Its description in RNAcentral is "partial 16S ribosomal RNA". It matches the Rfam family "Bacterial small subunit ribosomal RNA", at positions 30 to 507 of the family's 1533-position model. The record is from RNAcentral.